GCAGGACAGCCGACGGCAGAGGAGGAUGAGCGAGUCUGACAUCUCCGAUCGAAACACCUAAUUGAGACCGGCUGCAGAGGAGAGGAAAUGGAGAAGGAGGAAGAUGGAGGGAGACCGAAUGGAGACAAUAUUAUCUGUUGGUGGACGAAAGAAGUAGCCGGCGAAGUGGGGAGAGGAGAAAUGGCAAGAAAUUGCCCAGAGGUGGAGAAGGAGGAGAAUGAGCACGAAUUGUGUUGAAAUGGAGAUGAGAUGAGUCAGACUGUGGCACCAGCAAUGGUUUUCCUCUCACACUUUCCCAGAAGCCGGUGUGCGUCACUGAUGUAAAGCGUGUAUCAAACAGGUAGAGUCACCGUCUCCUGUUCUCUCUGAUCGAGAUACAAGUGCACAGCCAUCUCUCUUCUCUGACAACCAGCAAGAUAAAAGGAGGUAGACGCAGAACAACAACAACAACAAAAAAAAAUGAUCAAAGGCACCAACAAAUGAGAGAUUCAAUGGCUAGCAUGAGUAGAAUUCACUUAAGAGUGAGUCUUUGUUUCAGAUGCUGCAAAGAAUGCAUGUCAAGAAGAAGAAGUGUGUAUCAAGGACAGCGCUGCCAAUAGUUAGACAAUAAUGACUUUAAAUAACUUGGGUUUAAACCUGUUUAACUCCAUGGAGAAUGUAGUUAAAUAUGCA
Acanthopagrus latus (yellowfin seabream) is the source of this 672-nucleotide long non-coding RNA. RefSeq lists it as uncharacterized. The record is from RefSeq and is a predicted model, not a curated record. The transcript has 4 exons. Lineage: Eukaryota; Metazoa; Chordata; Actinopteri; Spariformes; Sparidae.